AGGAAAUUAGCUCAGUGGUAGAGCAUUCGUUUUACACGCGAUCUAGCGAGGGUUCAAUUCCUUCAUUUCCUA
RNAcentral lists this transfer RNA (72 nucleotides) under Pneumocystis jirovecii. It matches the Rfam family "tRNA". Rfam says of the family: Transfer RNA (tRNA) molecules are approximately 80 nucleotides in length. The record is from Rfam by way of RNAcentral. Lineage: Eukaryota; Fungi; Ascomycota; Pneumocystomycetes; Pneumocystales; Pneumocystaceae.